Molecule: ribosomal RNA, 428 nt
Filed under: uncultured archaeon
Lineage: Archaea
Description: bacterial SSU rRNA
Rfam family: Archaeal small subunit ribosomal RNA
Source: RNAcentral
UACCAGCUCUCCGAGUGGUGGGGAUGCUUAUUGGGCCUAAAGCAUUCGUAGCCUGCUUGACAAGUCCUCCGUUAAAUCCAACGAUUCAAUCGUUGGGCUGCGGGGGAUACUGUCCGGCUAGGGGGCGGGAGAGGCCGACGGUAUCCUCGGGGUAGGGGUGAAAUCCUAUAAUCCCGGGAGGACCACCAGUGGCGAAGGCUGUCGGCUAGAACGCGCUCGACGGUGAGGGAUGAAAGCUGGGGGAGCGAACCGGAUUAGAUACCCGGGUAGUCCCAGCUGUAAACGAUGCAGGCUAGGUGUUGGCGCGGCUACGUGCCGCUCCAGUGCCGCAGGGAAGCCGUUAAGCCUGCCGCCUGGGAAGUACGGCCGCAAGGCUUAAACUUAAGGAAUUGGCGGGGGAGCACCACAAGGUGUGAGGCUUGCGGUUU